This 410-nucleotide ribosomal RNA is filed under the name uncultured microorganism. Its description in RNAcentral is "bacterial SSU rRNA". It matches the Rfam family "Bacterial small subunit ribosomal RNA", at positions 509 to 917 of the family's 1533-position model. The record is from RNAcentral.
CAGCAGCCGCGGUAAUACGUAGGGUGCGAGCGUUAAUCGGAUUUACUGGGCGUAAAGCGUGCGCAGGCGGUCCUUUAAGUCUGAUGUGAAAGCCCACGGCUCAACCGUGGAGGGUCAUUGGAAACUGGGGGACUUGAGUGCAGGAGAGGAGAGCGGAAUUCCACGUGUAGCGGUGAAAUGCGUAGAGAUGUGGAGGAACACCAGUGGCGAAGGCGGCUCUCUGGCCUGUAACUGACGCUGAGGCGCGAAAGCGUGGGGAGCAAACAGGAUUAGAUACCCUGGUAGUCCACGCCGUAAACGAUGAGUGCUAAGUGUUAGAGGGGUCACACCCUUUAGUGCUGCAGCUAACGCGAUAAGCACUCCGCCUGGGGAGUACGGCCGCAAGGCUGAAACUUAAAGGAAUUGGCGGG